CCUACGGGAGGCAGCAGUGAGGAAUAUUGGUCAAUGGGCGUAAGCCUGAACCAGCCAAGUCGCGUGAGGGAUGAAGGUACUGUGGAUCGUAAACCUCUUUUAUAAGGGAAUAAAGUGUGGGACGUGUCCUGUUUUGUAUGUACCUUAUGAAUAAGCAUCGGCUAACUCCGUGCCAGCAGCCGCGGUAAUACGGAGGAUCCGAGCGUUAUCCGGAUUUAUUGGGUUUAAAGGGUGCGUAGGCGGCCUGUUAAGUCAGCGGUGAAAGUCUGUGGCUCAACCAUAGAAUUGCCGUUGAAACUGGGAGGCUCGAGUAGGUUAGAGGCAGGCGGAAUGCGCGGUGUAGCGGUGAAAUGCUUAGAUAUCACGCAGAACCCCGAUUGCGAAGGCAGCCUGCCAAGUCAAGACUGACGCUGAGGCACGAAAGCGUGGGGAUCAAACAGGAUUAGAUACCCGGGUAGUC
Molecule: ribosomal RNA, 460 nt
Filed under: uncultured bacterium
Lineage: Bacteria
Description: partial 16S ribosomal RNA
Rfam family: Bacterial small subunit ribosomal RNA
Source: RNAcentral